Lates calcarifer (barramundi perch) is the source of this 4358-nucleotide long non-coding RNA. RefSeq lists it as uncharacterized. The record is from RefSeq and is a predicted model, not a curated record. Lineage: Eukaryota; Metazoa; Chordata; Actinopteri; Centropomidae. The transcript has 2 exons.
GGCAGCAUUCAUAGAAGAUGCUUAGACUCUGUAUCCAGUUUGACAACUGCAAAUGUUUAUUUUUAUUAGUCAUGAAGUCAUCAUGGUGAUUGCUUAGCAUCUUGUAAGUCCAUAUGGGCUGGGCACAGGAGAGGUACAAGACACAUUCAUAAUCAAUCAAUCAAGCAGCAACACAAUAGUAAUGCUGUCAGUGAUGAUCACACAGGCGUGCGAGCUGCAGCAGCUCAGCAGGGUAGCUAUCAUACACAGGUUGAGGUAGAUGUGUGGAAAAGGCUUAAGCUUGGUGAUUCACCUGUAGACACCAGGCCAGAGCUUUAGCAGGUGCUGUUUCUGUAUGGUCCUAGGGCCUGCAACUUCCCCUGGGUUUUAUCAUUAUUAUUAUUAUUUUUAUUAUUAUUAUUAUUUUUUUUGAUACACCAGUAGUUUUCAGACAAGGGACAUGUCCCCUGUGGCCACCUCAUAAAUUACACCCCCAGGCGAGUGUGAUUUCUGACACAGAUAACUUAAGGCUGGAACUGUCACAACUCCCGUGGCUGUUAAUUUCAUAAGCUUCUGACCAGAAGAUAGAUCCUCAUCAUGUUAGUGAGGGAAAGCAGUUUGUUCAUUACAGGUACAUUUAAAAAGCAGGGCAGUUCAAGGUUUCUUUAAAUCCUCAAAGCAUCUUUGAUUCAAGUUAAACAGAGAUGGUUGUGUUUAAACAGAGAUAAAAGAGAGCAGCAGAGGAAGGGUUUCCACAGGUCAGGAUUAUGUAACAAGUCCCAGUACAGGCUGUUCUCUGCUCUCUGGAUGUUUGGAGAGAUCAGUGUCACAGCUGGUCAGCAUAUGAAGUUGUAAACAUACUUCGUAUGAUCGUAGAUGGUUUAAUCAGUAGUAUUCUACAGAUCAGAAAUGCAGUGGCCUACUGUAAUAAUUACAACAUACAGUCAUGUGAAAAAGAAAGCUCACCCUCUUUGAUUUCUAUGGUUUUACAUAUCAGGCCAUAAUAAAACAAAUCAUCUGGCUCUUAGCAGGUCUUAAAAUUAGGUAAAUACAACCCCACAACAACACAUUACAUAUUAAACUGUGUCAUUAUUUAUUUGACAAAAACAAGGCCAAAAUACAGAGGCAUUGUGUGAAAAAACUAAGUACCCCCUUACUGUUUCCACAGGAAUUCAGAUAGUAAGUAGCAGCCAGGUGCUGCUAAUCAAAUGCCCUUAUUGACCACCAGCAAGUGUGAGCACCUCUAUAAAAGCUAAGUUUUGGCGCACUCAGGUGUGAGUAACACAGUGCCAAGGAGGAAAGACAUCAGUAGUGAACUUAGAGAAGCAAUUGUUGCUGUCCAUCAAUCAGGGAAGGGUUGUAAGACCAUUUCCAAACAAUCUGAAUUCCAACAUUCUAUAGUGAGAAAGAUUAUUAUCAAGAGGAAAACAUUCGAGACAGUUGGCAAUCUUCCCAGGGGUGGACAUCCCAGCAAAUUCACCCCAAGGUCAGACCAUGCAAUACUCAGUGAAACUGCAAAAACUCUAGACCCACAUCUCAGACUCUACAGGCCUCAGUUAGCAUGUUAAAUGUUAAUGUUAAUGCCAGUACAAUUAGAAGAACACUGAACAAGUAUGGUUUGUUUGGAAGGGUUGCCAGGAGAAAGACUCUUCUCUCUAAAAAGAACAUGGCAGCACAGCUUAGGUUUGCAAAGUUGCAUCUGAACAAACCACAAGACUUCAGAAACAAUGGCCUUUGUACAGAUGAGACCAAAGUACAGAUGUUUGACCAUAAUGCACAUGUUUAGUAAAAACCAAACACGACAUAUCAGCACUAACACGUCAUACCAACUGUCAAGCACGGUGGUGGAGGGCUGAUGAUUUGGGCUUGUUUUGCAGCCACAAAAGAUGCGACCACAAACUCCUCAGUAUGCCAAAAUAUUCUAGAAUCAAAUAUGAGGUCAUCUGUCUGAUGAUCAAAGCUUGGCCUAAAUUGGUUCAUGCAUCAGGAAAAUUAUCCCAAGCACCCCAGCAAAUCUACAACAGAAUGGCUGAAAAAGAUGGCCCAGUCAAAGUCCAGACCUCAACCUGACUGAAAUGCUGUGGAGUGACCUUAAGAGAGUCAUUUGCACAAACAAAUGACUGAAAACCUCAAUGAACUGAGGCAACGUUGUAAAGAAGAGUGGGCCAAGAUUCCUCCAGAACGAUGUGAGAGACUGAUAAAGUCAAACAGAAAACCAUUACUUCAAGUUAUUGCAGCUAGAGGUGGUUCUACAAGCUACUGAAUCAUGGAGUGUACUUAGUGUUUCAUACAUGGCUUCUCCAUUUUGGCUUCAUUUUUGUUAGAUAAAUAAUGACACAGUGGAAUCUGGUGUAUGUUGUUUUACACCUGAGGUUGGAUUUAAAUAAUUUUAGAACUUGAAUUUUUGUCCUGAUUAAUAAAACCAUAGAAUUCAAAGAGGGUGUACUUUCUUUUUCACAUGACUCUGUAUACAAAAACAUAUGAAGUAAAAUGUUGUGAAUGAAUGAAUGAAAAUACACAGGAAAAUAUGAAUGAAUGUAGCCUGAUAAUCAGACAGAAUCUCGAUUUUGUUUUGACUCAUUUAUUCAGUUUGAUGGUAAGUUAUUUAGCCCUAAUACCCAUCAAAUCAUCAGCAUGAUUUUAAGUUGGCAAGAGUGAAUGCUAGAAACAGUACACAUUUUACACAGUGAUUGAAGAAAUGUGUUUAAGAGUUGUUAUUGUUAGAACAACCUGUGCAGUCAAUCCCAUUUAGCUAUUUUAAUAAAUAUAGAUAUGCAGCUUUACAGCUUUACAAUGCUGCAAAGUACAGUAGUAUGGUACAGUGUAACAAAAUAAUCUAAGCUCAGAGGUCCACUUAUUAGUUUUUGAGAACUUUUAAUUUCAUCUAGCAAUCAUCUUCAACAAAUUAUCAGCAGUCAACAUGAAGGUGCAAUUUUGGAUUUAAAGAAAGCAAGCUUUUGUGAGUGUCAACAGCUUCUUUUCGCUGGCUCUGUUGAACAUGUGACAUGCAGGGCCAUUUUCAGUCUGAAUGUCUGCUAACUGAGAGCUAUCCUUACUGCAUGUAGUCAUGACUACAUGCAGUAAGGAUAGAUAUAGUAGAUAUCUUUGAGUUAAAUGUUGGAAUAGAUGGACAACAAUCCUGUUUCCAAUGGAAGUAGUUGUAGUGUUGCGCUAUUGCUUCACUCAGUAAGGUUGAGUUAGGCUGGGUCUGAGGGAGGGGUCACAGUGGCAGACAGCCAGGCUCUUCACAGGAAAAUGAGGCAGGCAGGGAGUGGUUCCUCUGUCCUUAUCUCCUUUCCUGUCCUCCACUCUGAUCAUCACACUGUUACACCCUUCGCAGCUCACACUGACUGGCGAUCAGAUUAGCAAUUCACACAGUCAUCAAUCAGCUUGAACAGAUGCUACAAACCUUACUGGUGACUGAGAUACACAAGCACAUAUGUUUGUGAAGUAGUAACUAUAAGAUGGUGUUGUUUUUAUUUUUCAUUUCAUCUUCCCAGGGCAGUCUGGUCCCAUGAUUUUACAUGAUUUUUGAAAUUUGUGUCAAAGGCAAGAGGCCCAGAGUGAUAAGUCAAGUCAAUUUUAUUCAUAUAGUUGUACUCAUAUAGUGCAGAAUCACACCAAAAAUUCCAGGAGAAGGAGAAUGUAAAUGUAACUGAUGUAGAGUGAUAAUAAUAAUAGUAGCAGACAGACUACUCCAGUAACCUCAACUGUUCAGAGCCAUGCAGGUCAUACCUCUACACCAAUGUCCCCCCUAAUUUUUCAUGUGUCUGAGCAUACACACAAACUCCCUGAGAAUUCCUUGGACCACUGUGAGCAACAUCAGACGUGCACACUGUUGCACACUGUAUUUUAUGCGCUACAUAGUUUUGCUGUGCACCGAGAAAGUGGGAGCAGUAAGCGAUUGUGCAGGCGCACAGCUUGGAGGGAACAUUGCUCUACACUACUACCUCCUCUGUAAUGGAAAAACCCUAUAUGGCCUAUAUGAUAAAACUCAAUUCUGCCUUUUCUCUAGACUACGUCUGAGAACAUUCACCCAGGUCACUGUAUUUCUAAACACUAUACAAAGGACUGGACUUGCUUGAGGUUCUUGAAUGUGUUUCACCUCUCAUCUGAAAGGCAUCUGUAAUUCUAAAAACUGGUGAAGAGUCCAGGUAUUGAAUUUAUUUAUUUACUGCCAUAUCUAGGAUGACGCUGAAAAAUGCCAGGUCACGUUCUUCCAGGUAUUUUUGCCUCUCUCUCCAUCCAGUCGAGGCAGAUGGCCACCCAUCGUCAAAUAUAAUAUAAAGAGUAUGGUCUAGACCUGCUCUUUAUGAAAAGUGCUGACAUAACUUCUGUUGUGAUUCAGUGCUAUUUAAAUAAAACUGGCUUGACCUAUG